Molecule: non-coding RNA, 71 nt
Organism: Trichechus manatus latirostris (Florida manatee)
Lineage: Eukaryota; Metazoa; Chordata; Mammalia; Sirenia; Trichechidae
Source: the annotation of a RefSeq genome assembly
GCAGUGGUGGUUCAGUGGUACCAUUCUUGCCUUUCAUGCAAGAGACCUGGGUUCAAUUCACAGCCAAUGCA